Molecule: ribosomal RNA, 722 nt
Filed under: Shigella flexneri
Lineage: Bacteria; Pseudomonadati; Pseudomonadota; Gammaproteobacteria; Enterobacterales; Enterobacteriaceae
Description: bacterial SSU rRNA
Rfam family: Bacterial small subunit ribosomal RNA
Source: RNAcentral
GUUGUGCCCUUGAGGUGUGGCUUCCGGAGCUAACGCGUUAAGUCGACCGCCUGGGGAGUACGGCCGCAAGGUUAAAACUCAAAUGAAUUGACGGGGGCCCGCACAAGCGGUGGAGCAUGUGGUUUAAUUCGAUGCAACGCGAAGAACCUUACCUGGUCUUGACAUCCACGGAAGUUUUCAGAGAUGAGAAUGUGCCUUCGGGAACCGUGAGACAGGUGCUGCAUGGCUGUCGUCAGCUCGUGUUGUGAAAUGUUGGGUUAAGUCCCGCAACGAGCGCAACCCUUAUCCUUUGUUGCCAGCGGUCCGGCCGGGAACUCAAAGGAGACUGCCAGUGAUAAACUGGAGGAAGGUGGGGAUGACGUCAAGUCAUCAUGGCCCUUACGACCAGGGCUACACACGUGCUACAAUGGCGCAUACAAAGAGAAGCGACCUCGCGAGAGCAAGCGGACCUCAUAAAGUGCGUCGUAGUCCGGAUUGGAGUCUGCAACUCGACUCCAUGAAGUCGGAAUCGCUAGUAAUCGUGGAUCAGAAUGCCACGGUGAAUACGUUCCCGGGCCUUGUACACACCGCCCGUCACACCAUGGGAGUGGGUUGCAAAAGAAGUAGGUAGCUUAACCUUCGGGAGGGCGCUUACCACUUUGUGAUUCAUGACUGGGGUGAAGUCGUAACAAGGUAACCGUAGGGGAACCUGCGGUUGGAUCACCUCCUUACCUUAAAGAAGC